Molecule: unclassified non-coding RNA, 284 nt
Filed under: plant metagenome
Description: partial contains small subunit ribosomal RNA and internal transcribed spacer 1
Rfam family: Eukaryotic small subunit ribosomal RNA (bases 1-53)
Source: RNAcentral
GGAAGUAAAAGUCUAACAAGGUUUCCGUAGGUGAACCUGCGGAAGGAUCAUUAUUGUAUAACCGAGGUGCGAGGGCUGUCGCUGACCCGAAAGGUCGUGCACGCUCGAGUGCCCUCACACACAUCCAUCUCACCCCUAUGUGCACCACCGCGUGGGUCCCCCUUUGGCUUGUUCGGAGGGGGGCUUACGUUUUCACACAAACUUUGUAUGCAGUGUAGAAUGUAUUUUUUGUUUUUGCGAUCACGCAAUCAAUACAACUUCCAACAACGGAUCUCUUGGCUCUC